This 503-nucleotide ribosomal RNA is filed under the name uncultured bacterium. Its description in RNAcentral is "partial 16S ribosomal RNA". It matches the Rfam family "Bacterial small subunit ribosomal RNA", at positions 30 to 523 of the family's 1533-position model. The record is from RNAcentral.
AUUGAACGCUGGCGGCAGGCUUAACACAUGCAAGUCGAGCGGGGUGAUGGUGCUUGCACUAUCACUUAGCGGCGGACGGGUGAGUAAUGCUUAGGAAUCUGCCUAUUAGUGGGGGACAACAUCUCGAAAGGGAUGCUAAUACCGCAUACGUCCUACGGGAGAAAGCAGGGGAUCACUUGUGACCUUGCGCUAAUAGAUGAGCCUAAGUCGGAUUAGGUAGUUGGUGGGGUAAAGGCCUACCAAGGCGACGAUCUGUAGCGGGUCUGAGAGGAUGAUCCGCCACACUGGGACUGAGACACGGCCCAGACUCCUACGGGAGGCAGCAGUGGGGAAUAUUGGACAAUGGGGGGAACCCUGAUCCAGCCAUGCCGCGUGUGUGAAGAAGGCCUUGUGGUUGUAAAGCACUUUAAGCGAGGAGGAGGCUCUUUUGGUUAAUACCCAAGAUGAGUGGACGUUACUCGCAGAAUAAGCACCGGCUAACUCUGUGCCAGCAGCCGCGGUAA